AGCGGAGGGGAAACGCCCGUUCCCAUUCCGAACACGGAAGCUAAGCCCUCCAGCGCCGAUGGUACUGCCCUGGCAACGGGGUGGGAGAGUAGGUCAUCGCCAGAG
RNAcentral lists this ribosomal RNA (105 nucleotides) under Dictyoglomus thermophilum. The record is from RNAcentral. Lineage: Bacteria; Pseudomonadati; Dictyoglomota; Dictyoglomia; Dictyoglomales; Dictyoglomaceae.